Molecule: ribosomal RNA, 613 nt
Filed under: Trichoderma harzianum
Lineage: Eukaryota; Fungi; Ascomycota; Sordariomycetes; Hypocreales; Hypocreaceae
Description: eukaryotic LSU rRNA
Rfam family: 5.8S ribosomal RNA (bases 233-386)
Source: RNAcentral
CUCCGUAGGUGAACCUGCGGAGGGAUCAUUACCGAGUUUACAACUCCCAAACCCAAUGUGAACGUUACCAAACUGUUGCCUCGGCGGGAUCUCUGCCCCGGGUGCGUCGCAGCCCCGGACCAAGGCGCCCGCCGGAGGACCAACCAAAACUCUUAUUGUAUACCCCCUCGCGGGUUUUUUUAUAAUCUGAGCCUUCUCGGCGCCUCUCGUAGGCGUUUCGAAAAUGAAUCAAAACUUUCAACAACGGAUCUCUUGGUUCUGGCAUCGAUGAAGAACGCAGCGAAAUGCGAUAAGUAAUGUGAAUUGCAGAAUUCAGUGAAUCAUCGAAUCUUUGAACGCACAUUGCGCCCGCCAGUAUUCUGGCGGGCAUGCCUGUCCGAGCGUCAUUUCAACCCUCGAACCCCUCCGGGGGGUCGGCGUUGGGGAUCGGCCCUGCCUUGGCGGUGGCCGUCUCCGAAAUACAGUGGCGGUCUCGCCGCAGCCUCUCCUGCGCAGUAGUUUGCACACUCGCAUCGGGAGCGCGGCGCGUCCACAGCCGUUAAACACCCAACUUCUGAAAUGUUGACCUCGGAUCAGGUAGGAAUACCCGCUGAACUUAAGCAUAUCAAUAAGC